This 707-nucleotide ribosomal RNA is filed under the name uncultured bacterium. Its description in RNAcentral is "bacterial SSU rRNA". It matches the Rfam family "Bacterial small subunit ribosomal RNA", at positions 104 to 810 of the family's 1533-position model. The record is from RNAcentral.
GGGUGAGUAACACGUAUCCAACCUGCCGAUGACUCGGGGAUAGCCUUUCGAAAGAAAGAUUAAUACCCGAUGGCAUAGUUCUUCCGCAUGGUAGAACUAUUAAAGAAUUUCGGUCAUCGAUGGGGAUGCGUUCCAUUAGCUUGUUGGCGGGGUAACGGCCCACCAAGGCAUCGAUGGAUAGGGGUUCUGAGAGGAAGGUCCCCCACAUUGGAACUGAGACACGGUCCAAACUCCUACGGGAGGCAGCAGUGAGGAAUAUUGGUCAAUGGGCGCUAGCCUGAACCAGCCAAGUAGCGUGAAGGAUGACUGCCCUAUGGGUUGUAAACUUCUUUUAUAUGGGAAUAAAGUGCAGUAUGUAUACUGCUCUGCAUGUACCUUAUGAAUAAGGAUCGGCUAACUCCGUGCCAGCAGCCGCGGUAAUACGGGGGAUCCGAGCGUUAUCCGGAUUUAUUGGGUUUAAAGGGAGCGUAGGCGGGUUGUUAAGUCAGUUGUGAAAGUUUGCGGCUCAACCGUAAAAUUGCAGUUGAUACUGGCAUCCUUGAGUACAGUAGAGGUAGGCGGAAUUCGUGGUGUAGCGGUGAAAUGCUUAGAUAUCACGAAGAACUCCGAUUGCGAAGGCAGCCUGCUGGACUGUAACUGACGCUGAUGCUCGAAAGUGUGGGUAUCAAACAGGAUUAGAUACCCUGGUAGUCCACACAGUAAACGAU